This 440-nucleotide ribosomal RNA is filed under the name uncultured bacterium. Its description in RNAcentral is "partial 16S ribosomal RNA". It matches the Rfam family "Bacterial small subunit ribosomal RNA", at positions 338 to 795 of the family's 1533-position model. The record is from RNAcentral.
CCUACGGGAGGCAGCAGUGGGGGAUAUUGCACAAUGGGGGAAACCCUGAUGCAGCGACGCCGCGUGUGGGAAGACGGUCCUCUGGAUUGUAAACCACUGUCCCCAGGGACGAAGAUGACGGUACCUGGGGAGGAAGCUCCGGCUAACUACGUGCCAGCAGCCGCGGUAAUACGUAGGGAGCGGGCGUUGUCCGGAAUUACUGGGGGAAAAGGGAGCGUAGGCGGGACUGCAAGUUGGGUGUCAAAUCUACCGGCUCAACCGGUAGCCGCACUCAAAACUGCAGUUCUUGAGUGAAGUAGAGGCAGGCGGAAUUCCUAGUGUAGCGGUGAAAUGCGUAGAUAUUAGGAGGAACACCAGUGGCGAAGGCGGCCUGCUGGGCUUUUACUGACGCUGAGGCUCGAAAGUGUGGGGAGCAAACAGGAUUAGAUACCCGAGUAGUC